UGGGGAAUAUUGCACAAUGGGCGAAAGCCUGAUGCAGCAACGCCGCGUGAGCGAUGAAGGCCUUCGGGUCGUAAAGCUCUGUCCUCAAGGAAGAUAAUGACGGUACUUGAGGAGGAAGCCCCGGCUAACUACGUGCCAGCAGCCGCGGUAAUACGUAGGGGGCUAGCGUUAUCCGGAAUUACUGGGCGUAAAGGGUGCGUAGGUGGUUUCUUAAGUCAGAGGUGAAAGGCUACGGCUCAACCGUAGUAAGCCUUUGAAACUGGGAAACUUGAGUGCAGGAGAGGAGAGUGGAAUUCCUAGUGUAGCGGUGAAAUGCGUAGAUAUUAGGAGGAACACCAGUUGCGAAGGCG
RNAcentral lists this ribosomal RNA (350 nucleotides) under uncultured bacterium. RNAcentral describes it as "bacterial SSU rRNA". It matches the Rfam family "Bacterial small subunit ribosomal RNA", at positions 355 to 723 of the family's 1533-position model. The record is from RNAcentral.